AUUGUUGUGAAAUUUUGGAAAUAAGUGCACCUUCAAACUGAGCUUCUAAUUGCUUAAAUUUCAAUAAAAUCAAAGAAAAAUUGAAUGUUUGGUUUAUUGUUAAGUGGAAGGAGGUUGCCUACCAUAGAAAUCUUGGUCACUUAACUUUGAAGGAGCAUAUUCUACAGCUUAGGUACCGGAUUAAAUUGAAGUUUAUUGAAGCAGGAGCGCCUUUAAGUUAAAUCUGCAAUAGGCUAAAAAUCAUUCAAUUUGAAUUUAUUCACGAUUUUUGGCAAAUUUUGGAGUAGAAAGAGAUUUGCUGCCUUUAAUUCUUGGGCGUUAUCAAGGUACCUUGGCUUUUAUCUCUCUUUAGUCCCACUUUUACUUUUAUUU
RNAcentral lists this long non-coding RNA (372 nucleotides) under Physcomitrium patens. RNAcentral's name for it is "long non-coding RNA (PPAT_LNC010342)". The record is from RNAcentral. Lineage: Eukaryota; Viridiplantae; Streptophyta; Bryopsida; Funariales; Funariaceae.